This is a long non-coding RNA of Numida meleagris (helmeted guineafowl), 684 nucleotides long. RefSeq lists it as uncharacterized. The record is from RefSeq and is a predicted model, not a curated record. NCBI's taxonomy places the organism in Eukaryota, Metazoa, Chordata, Aves, Galliformes, Numididae. The transcript has 2 exons.
GCGGGCCCUGGGUGCAAAGCAGGAGAUGUUUCAGUGACUGCGCGAUGAGGCCCAGGCUGUUUGACAGUGACACAUUCAAAGGCUGUUGCAUUUUCAAGGCACCCAGGAGGAAUCUGGCACUCACCAGGGAACUUCACCUCCUUCUACCUCCGUUUUUGUAGUACAGAGGUGAUGACUGAGGGGUUGGACUUGAUGAUCCCUGGAGGUCCCUUCCAACCCCUACAAUUCUGUGAUUCUGUGACUGGAGUGCCCCAGGCCUCCUGCCAGGGAAACAUGGUGCUGGUGAAAAUCAUUGCUGCUGGUUGCCGUCUGAACACAGCAUUUCUCUGUACAGUGGUAUCCACUACAGCCCAUGAGAUGUACAAGUUGUCUUCCCCGGGGAGACACCCUGCAGUUAAUGAGUGACAUCCAGGGCUCACGACAGCAAAGCACUGUUUAACUUGAGGUGAUUUGGGACGUCAUUCAAGACAUCUCUGGACCUGCACUGUCAGGCAUCAGGUUCUUGGUGGCUAAUGGGAUUUGCAAAAGAAAAUUGCUGUGCUUGCAGAAGCCUGAGUUUUCUGUAGCAUGUACAGUGCAGCUGAGGCCAGCACUGGUAAUUGGCCUUUCUCACAAUGACAAGGUGCUGUAGUUAUCUCUGCACGGUCUAAAUAAACAAUAUUAAAUGUUGACUUCUUAAAUGAA